Small nucleolar RNA from Gorilla gorilla gorilla (western lowland gorilla), 205 nucleotides. Its record names the gene U3. It matches the Rfam family "Small nucleolar RNA U3". Rfam says of the family: Small nucleolar RNAs (snoRNAs) are involved in the processing and modification of rRNA in the nucleolus. NCBI's taxonomy places the organism in Eukaryota, Metazoa, Chordata, Mammalia, Primates, Hominidae. The record is from Ensembl.
AAGACUAUGCAUUCUGGGAUCAUUUCGAUAGCUCGUUCCUAGAGAAGUUUCUCUGAGUACCAGAAGCCACAAGGAGCAGGCCCAGUGUUCCCUCCCGAGCAGGAGCCGUCGUCUGUGUUGCUUCCCUGCAAGUACCAUUCGCCACUGAUGACCAUUCUUCUGUUCCUCUGGGAGAGUAAGAGGGAGAGGAUGUAGUCUGAGAGGU